UUUUUUUUUUUUUUUUUNCAGGUUCUUCGUGACCUUUGAUGAUUUGUGCAAAGUGUAGAUGGAGGUGCUCUGAGGCUGUGCUGCUUGGAUUCAAAUCAUUCUGCUCCUUUGCCUUCCACCACUGCAACGUGCACGGGCUCUACUCCUCCGGUUCUGAAAAGGAGGAAGAGGUACAGGAGAGAGCAAAGGCAUUACUGAGGAGUUGAGGUUCGUCGGUAUGAGGCUUCGGAAUGUUAAUGGGGAAAAGUUAUCUGGUGAUACUGGGGAUUCAUCAAGUGAAGAUGGAGUAGAGGAGAAAGAUGACGGAAAUUUGGUGUUGAGCGAUGAUGAUUAUGAUGAGAGCGGGGAUGGUAUAGAGACUUGGCAACCGAGCUUGAAAGGAUGUCUUAAAUAUUUGGCUGAUAGUAAGUUCAUAUUCAGCACUGUGGAGAAAAUCAUUGAUGAACCUAAGCAACGUUGCUUAUAGUUACUUCAGAAAAUCAGGGUUGGAACAUUCAGAAUAUCUUGCAAAGGAUCUAAAAUGGUUCAGUGAACAGGGUAUUGUGAUACCCGAACCGAGCAGUCCAGGAGUUCCUUAUGCCAAGUAUCUGGAGGAACUUGCUGAGAGGAGUGCCCCUUUGUUACUUUUCCAUUACUAUAUUAUAUAUUUUUCACAUAUAGCAGGUGGCAACAGGUAUGUGAAGUUGCUUUCACAAUGUGAUGCUACUGUGAUCUGAGAUAACAAGGUAUUUAUUGUAUUACCUCUUAGAACCUUUUAUUCAAAGAUGAGUAGCAGCCUUUCUCCAAGGAAAGGAGGUGCCUCUGUCGGCGAUGUGCUAUAUGAGUCAUGAGUUAUAUACCAAUCCUUUGGCAUUCUUUAUAUCAUAAAUAGUGAUUGAGUUGUGGCUUCCUUCAUGCACGAGACGCCAGAAAAGAAAUAAUUUAUCCUAAAACUUGUUACGUAAAAUUUUAAAAACAUGUAUGAUGUAAUUGCCUGUUAUAGCUGAUAAAAAAAUUGUUAUGAUUUAUAUUCUUUUUCCGAAGGAUUCUGAUAGACUCCUUGAAGGUAGAAAGCUUGAAUUUUAUACGUGGGCAGGGGACGUAGAAGAACUGCUGAAAGUGCUCGUGAGAAGCUUAACAUGCUUGGAGAGCUAUGUGGACGCUAAUGCAGCACUGAUCUCAAGAUGAGAAAAAUAAAUGCUCGAGAGAAGCAACCAAGUCAUUCCGCAUUUUGGGAAAGAUAGUUCGUUUGUUUAUCGUAUGAUCAGCUAUUUUAAGUGAUAUGACUUUGAAGGUGUUCCCGGCACAAGACUAGAAUAUCAAGGGGCCAACAAACUGGGGUAGGACUUGACAAUGCUCAGAAAAUGGUUCUCUUUCAAUCAAUCAAAGUUGCGAUGAAUCUACAGGGCUGCGCUCAUUCAGAGGUUUUGAUACUCUGAUUGGAAAUGAAAAAGAGCAGUGAUUUUGGACAGUGGUGGCUGCUGAAGGCAUGGAGCCAGUGACCUUCCCCAACUUGAGGAGCUAACCCCAUUAUUUUCAACAUUCCAUCAAAUGCCAUCAGGUAUGAAAUUUUGCACAAUGAUCGAGACAAUGUCUAGAACUCUUACAAUACAUACUUCAUUUGUUCACACUAUGAAUUAUGUUUUUAUGCUAUUGAACUCCAUACUGUUGUAGUGUUGAUGAUUUUGUAGGAAGGGAAGGGAUGGGAAGGGGGAGAAGUAAAUGGAAGCACGUGAAGGUAAGCAUUAAUGGAGGUAGCAGUAGUGAGGUUCUGUUUAGUCAAAGAUGGGUUUGGUAGCAGAAAGUUUGGUUUGUGAGUGUGGCUUAGUAGUGGGUUUGGCACUUAGGGUUGCUUUCCUUAUUCCAAAAUAGAAAAACGAUUCUGUUUGGAUGCAACUCUGCAUAUUCUUUGCAAAUGAAUCAUUCUAGAAUGGAACUUCCUUUUUCUGCAUGGAACAUGCAGAGUUGCUAAUGGAGGACGGAGAAUUUUUUGCCCUUUGACAAUAAAGCAAAUAACUCUGCUC
Molecule: non-coding RNA, 2003 nt
Organism: Cucurbita pepo subsp. pepo (vegetable marrow)
Lineage: Eukaryota; Viridiplantae; Streptophyta; Magnoliopsida; Cucurbitales; Cucurbitaceae
Source: RefSeq, a predicted model, not a curated record